AUGACUUCCUCACAGAUGGAGGAGGCAAUUAAGCUGCUUCACAAGGUCGCUGACUCCUUGCAAGGCUGGAUGGUGCGUAUUGGGAGCUUUCUGGAUCGUGCGAAGGUUGCUCUGCAAAGGCUCCCUCUUGCACAUGCUCCCGUGGUGGAGUCUUCUGUUGGCUUGAUUGAUGAGGCAGGUGCGGAGCUCUUUGGUAGCUUCUCACCCCGUGUUGGGUCUAGUUCGAUGCACCUUGUGUUGCCGGACUCCCUGGGUGAGGUAUCCGCUGAGGUUGUGUCUCUGGUGUUGCAGAUCAUGCCCGAGUUGCAGGUGUUGUGUGGGGAACAUGUUUCAUCUGUGUCGAUGGAGCAGCUCAAGUUGGACUCUCUCCAGGCUUCGAUGGUGGACCGUGUGUCCUCGUCACCCCCGUGGAGCCUCGUCAGGCUUCGGAGGUGGACCUGGUGCCCUCACCACCACCCGUGGAGCCUUAUCAGAGGUCAGACAACCUACCUCUCAGCAUCUUGA
This 504-nucleotide ribosomal RNA is filed under the name Triticum aestivum (bread wheat). Its description in RNAcentral is "partial small subunit ribosomal RNA". The record is from RNAcentral. Lineage: Eukaryota; Viridiplantae; Streptophyta; Magnoliopsida; Poales; Poaceae.